CCGCUUGAGUUAGAUUUCCAGCCAAAUUCUUUUUCCCAAGCUCUUUCUCUGAAUUCCAUGUGUUGAGAAUUUGAAGAAGAAAAAAAAUGGCUAGAAAUCUUAACAUACGACACACCAUCAUUAGCCUUGUUAUCCUCAUAUUGCUCAUCUUCUUAGGACUAGGGGCAAUCAAAAUUUUCAACCAAAAAAAAGAAGCCAUCAAAAUAGAUGCACGAGUCAAGUUUGAGCAUCCUGAUGAUGAAGUGGAAGCUCUAAGAGAAAUCAACCCCUGCAGCGGAGACCCAAACUGGGAAACACCAAACUAUACUCAAGACGGGCCAUUGUACAACAGUUCUCUUAUUUGCAAUUGUUGCUCUCCUGGUGUUGUUAAAUGUCGCAUUGUUGAUAAACUACUUGUUAAAGGGGAGGACCGUUGUGGUAAAAUUCCACCAUCUCUAGCAACGUUACCUUACCUUGGAGCAGUUGAUUUCACAUGGAACUACCUAAGUGGUGGUAUACCUCCAGAAUGGACUUCUAUGAAGGACUUGAAUUAUCUGUCCUUGUAUGCGAACAAUUUGUCAGGACCAAUCCCCAUCUACUUGGGAAACAUGACCUUUCCUGUAUAUGUGAGGUUAGAUAACAGCAUGUUUUGUGGAACUAUUCCCCCUGAGGUCGCCAAACUUUUUAACAAGGAGCAUCUCAUUUUGGCAGCAUUCUGCCAAGCGAUGUUCAAUAAUGCAUUUAACUCAACCAUCAACAUGCACGACUAUGAUCGACAAGAAUAUAAGGAGAAAAGUUGGCAGUGCAAUAUGGACCCAACGCUUGCUUAACAGGGUAUGUGAAGGGAUGUCAUCCGAAUCCACUUCCCAACUUUACAAUCCACGGGCUCUGGCCCAAAACAAUUUCCCCACGAAAAAAUGUUACUUUCGAUGAAAAUGUUUUAAAAGGUCAGCUCUUAAGGGACCUCCAUUAUUAUUGGCCAAAUUUAAGAAAUGACUAUGAUAAGACCUUCUGGGCACUCGAGUGGGUAAAACAUGGACCUGAUUACAAUGUAGGUGAUGGUUCUCAACUUGCGUAUUUUAACCAAACAGUUAAUCUGUUCGGUAAGGACGAGAUACGUGAAGCUCUGAGUAUCUUGGGUGCUGAAGAAAAAAGGUCCUUUAUGUUUAACGAUACGCUUGAACAGCUAAAACGUAUAACGACCCCUGAAUUGGUUUGCAAGAAAUUUGAAAAAGAAGGUGAAACACUGCUGGUCGAGAUAAGGUUUUGUCUGGGAAACAAUUUACAAAAUCUCACGGAUUGCCAGCCCAGUAACAUAUCGGCGAGCUGCAACCCAGAAUUUUUUGUUUACUAUUUACCACCAAAAAAAUAAAAUUAAAAAAAUUACUUUUUUUUUUUUUGACUCUUUUUAUGAUGGAAUUACAGAGGAAGCCGUUGCUUCCUUCUCUUUGUAACGCCCUCGUUGGGCCCUCUUUUAUGCUUUUAUUAUGUGUGCCUUAAACCAAGCCAUGAAUAUGAAUAAGGAAGUAUUAACUGAGAAACUAAA
Molecule: RNA transcript, 1525 nt
Organism: Ziziphus jujuba (common jujube)
Lineage: Eukaryota; Viridiplantae; Streptophyta; Magnoliopsida; Rosales; Rhamnaceae
Gene name: probable LRR receptor-like serine/threonine-protein kinase At1g07650
Exons: 9
Source: RefSeq, a predicted model, not a curated record